CCGGUAGCUCAGCUGGUAGAGCAACGGACUGAAAAUCCGUGUGUCGGCGGUUCAACCCCGCCUUG
This 65-nucleotide transfer RNA is filed under the name human gut metagenome. The stretch from base 5 to 62 matches the Rfam family "tRNA", at positions 8 to 63 of the family's 71-position model. Rfam says of the family: Transfer RNA (tRNA) molecules are approximately 80 nucleotides in length. RNAcentral also lists the same sequence under 2 other names. The record is from RNAcentral.